CAAGAGAUAGUUUAUUUAAAAUAUUAGUUUUGGGAAUUAAUGAUAGGAGGUUUCUCCUUCUCUUGA
RNAcentral lists this transfer RNA (66 nucleotides) under Oratosquilla oratoria. RNAcentral describes it as "tRNA-Pro". The record is from RNAcentral. Lineage: Eukaryota; Metazoa; Arthropoda; Malacostraca; Stomatopoda; Squillidae.